RNAcentral lists this long non-coding RNA (300 nucleotides) under Pan troglodytes (chimpanzee). RNAcentral describes it as "long non-coding RNA NONPTRT004498". The record is from RNAcentral. Lineage: Eukaryota; Metazoa; Chordata; Mammalia; Primates; Hominidae.
GUUUGAGAUGACUGAAGGCUCAGGCACAGAACCUCCCAACAUCAUCCUGAAGGCAGCCCACACAGUCACAGGACAGAGGGUGAAGCUCUCCCUUUCAAUGGUUCAUGAACAAGAAGGGGAGAAAAGUAGACUCUUUAGAUUGGUGAUAUAAACAAACCUUAAGAGCAUUUUAUAGAUCCAGAAAGAUGGUCCUGUAAUGGUGGGAUUUCACCCUUGAGAAGCCAUAAAGUUAUUUUGGGGCAACAUUGCCUGCUCCGUACCCAAUGCACAGCCCAUCAAUAAAUCACUUGCUGACCGUCC